GACGAACGCUGGCGGCGUGCUUAACACAUGCAAGUCGAACGGAAAGGCCCCCUUGUGGGGUACUCGAGUGGCGAACGGGUGAGUAACACGUGAGUAACCUACCCUUGACUUUGGGAUAACUUCAGGAAACUGGGGCUAAUACCGGAUAGGAGCUCCUGCUGCAUGGCGGGGGUUGGAAAGUUUCGGCGGUUGGGGAUGGGCUCGCGGCUUAUCAGCUUGUUGGUGGGGUAGUGGCUCACCAAGGCUUUGACGGGUAGCCGGCCUGAGAGGGUGACCGGCCACAUUGGGACUGAGAUACGGCCCAGACUCCUACGGGAGGCAGCAGUGGGGAAUAUUGCACAAUGGGCGGAAGCCUGAUGCAGCAACGCCGCGUGCGGGAUGACGGCCUUCGGGUUGUAAACCGCUUUCGCCUGUGACGAAGCGUGAGUGACGGUAAUGGGUAAAGAAGCACCGGCUAACUACGUG
This 465-nucleotide ribosomal RNA is filed under the name uncultured bacterium. RNAcentral's name for it is "partial 16S ribosomal RNA". It matches the Rfam family "Bacterial small subunit ribosomal RNA", at positions 28 to 507 of the family's 1533-position model. The record is from RNAcentral.